Molecule: long non-coding RNA, 2107 nt
Organism: Mauremys reevesii (Reeves's turtle)
Lineage: Eukaryota; Metazoa; Chordata; Testudines; Geoemydidae
Exons: 3
Source: RefSeq, a predicted model, not a curated record
AACUUUUGUCACACCCUUUGGCAGGUACUGCGGUGUACCAAUGUCUAUGUGCAUUAGCCCAGCCCCAAAGGUGUUCCAGUGUAAACCGAGCCAGACAGUAUGGAGAGUCCCAAGAGUCAAGACUGUUGCUGAUGUCAUUUUUAUGGUAAAGGAAAGAGAUUAAAAGAAAGAAGCAAUCCAGGACCAGGAGAGCAAGCUGUGACAAUUCCUAAACAGGUGCUGCAAGCAAAAUAUUACACUGAAUGCAGACAAGCUGAAGCAGAAGAGAGUAGAGAUUCCUUACCAUGGACAUCUGUUGACUUCGGAGGGACUCUGUAUCCUGGGAAACUGAGACUCAUUAAAGAAAUGCUCAGGUUUAGGGAUAUAAGGGUGCAUCAUUAAUGAAAAGUCAGCAGUCCAGAGCAUUGGCUAGUAGAGCCCUGACAGACACAAAGAGGGAAUAUACUCAUAUAGAAAAGGAGCUGCUGGCUGUGCUCUUUGGAAUGAAUGGACUCCAUCACUUCACCUUUUGGCACUAGGUGGGCAGGCAAUUUAUUCACAACCCAUUAGAAAGUGUCAUGAAGAAGCUAUUGCUGAUUGCACCCAAGUGACUGUAACACAUGUUGCUGAGAUUCCAGCAUCAUGAAGUGAGGAUAUGGUACUGCUCAGGAAACUCACUUCUGGUGGCAGAUACACUGCUAAUGGUUAUACUUUCCAAAGUACAACACAGAUGGCUCAAUGGAACAGGAAGGAGAUCCUAUCAACAUGCUACAAUACCUUUAUACCUCCAAUGGGAGGCUCCAGGCAAUCCAACAAAACACUAAACAGUUUGAGGGUGCUACUGUCAUUAAAAUUACUCCAGGGUUGUCCAGCUUUCCUGGAGCAACAGCCACAGAAGAUGUCCCCCUGCUAUCAAAGGGAGAGGUGACCUUGGGGAAGGUGGCAGUUUCUCAUCUUGUAAAAAGUUUUAUCAAUCAUAUGGAGUAUUUCAUUCUUCUGGCAUGAAGCUGAGAAAUCCAACACAGUAAAAUGCAACUGAAAAUCAGGGUACAUUCUCUCUGGCCCUGGUAGAACUGUGUGGAGCAGGAGCUCCCACAUCACUGCUCCCAACAGAUCUCUCUGAAUCACAGAGAGUUAAAUGCACAACGGAGAAAAAUGGGACACAAUAUGAAUAUUAAUAGCUUGGCUGUUGAUCUUGGAGCUGGCAGAGCUGUUGUAUCUGGGCAGCUGCCAGAUCUGAUCAUUCAGAAUAUGAAUCUAGUUUGAGAGAAAGGGGGAAAAAACCCACCAGAGAAUCUAGUAGAAAGCACAACAAGUAUGUUUUGUUGGUAGUAAAGUAAUUUAUUUAUCCCCAAGCCUACAAUUUAGCAAAGUGAAUUUUGAGAAGAUUGGAGGAAAAAUAUGAGUUGCCCAGAAAUGUUAGGUCAAGUUGGUUGAAUCUAUUGGAAGUAGGUUUACAGAAGUAAUUGAAGAUGAGAAGAGCACAACCUCAGUGAAAGCUUUCCUUUGUUCUCUUUCUCGUUGUGGUGUUGAAUAAAGAGCGAGAUGCUGGAGAAAAAAAUUCAGUGAAUUUUCACACUACUUUUGUGUGAAUUAAUUUGGUGUGUUUUUUUGUUUUGCAUGAGUGAAGAGAAUUGAACUGUGAACCAAAAUGUUGUGUAACUUUCAUCUGUCCCUUCUUCAAUCUGUUGGACUAGAAAGUACUGAAGUCACUCACUGCAGUAAGUGUUUGUGCUAAUACCCUCUUAACUCAAUGUGUUGCUGUUGCCAUGGUUACAGAACAAUGGCAGGCCCAACUAAAGCAGACUACUGACAUUAAAGUGGAGUUUCCUUAGCAGAACUAGGGAUGAAAGGUGAGCAGCCAAUAUAGUCAUUGAACAUUCAAGUGAGAUGAAAAGCAACUAGCUUGCUGGCAAGAGCUGGAGAAGACGUAAAUGUAAGAUGGGACGUAUGAAUGUAGACAUCAAGUAUUUAAUGGCUGGCCAUUCUGCUGAAACUUAAAAAGCCAACAAAAUGCAAUGAAUAUUGAUGUUACAUGAGAUCAGCAAAUCCAACAAUAUUUGAAUUUUGGGUCAAUAUUGUUUCUAGAGCUGGAUAGGAAAUAGUUUUCCAGUUCCACAAAAAAUUU